Molecule: non-coding RNA, 2369 nt
Organism: Meleagris gallopavo (turkey)
Lineage: Eukaryota; Metazoa; Chordata; Aves; Galliformes; Phasianidae
Source: RefSeq, a predicted model, not a curated record
GGUUCUGGCUAGGCUACUUAGGUGAUGCCAGUGGUCACAAGUGCUGCUUUGCCUGUGAGGAAGUGAAGGAUUUUCUGUUUAUUGCAUCACCCUGUGCUUGGUGGCCAUGACCUGCUCCUGGCUGUGCCCAGGGAGAUGCUAAAGACCUGCAGUGGCAAUAGGACCCCUAGUUGCUGGGGCUGGUGUAGCGUUGGAACAGGUCACCAAAGAAGUGUUUGUGGGGGUCCACAUGCUUAAGGAUCUCCACAACUCAAGUGACUUGUUCCAGUGUUUGUGAUAGCCCUGCAGAGAGCAGGAGGCUGGACCAAAGCCCUCCAGAAGUCCUUUCCAGCCUGUAUUUUCAUUGUUGUCUGGAAGGACAGUGAUUUAGCAGUGCUCAUGGCAUCAUGCUGCAGGACAGCCCAGUUUUGAGAACUAAGAGGUUUCUGUGAGUGAUGGCCCUGUAUCAUGUCUUCAGUCGCUACUUCCCUGUACCAAACCUCUCAUCCUCUGCAUCCUUGUGCUCUCAGCCUGACCCUGCCCUCAUUGUGCUUAAAGGUGCUUUUGGGGCCAAGGCCACCCCUUGUGUGACUCAGAUUGUUGACUUUAGCAACACGUGCUCUUUGCUGUAUAUAGCACUGUUAACUCUGUCAUCUGCUUGUCUUACCAGGAAAGAUUUUUCUAGCCACUUAGUUAUUGGUUGAAGAUCAAAAUUAUACAAUACCAGGAACUGAUCCCUUGGAGCAGCUCAUAACAACCAAAUAGCAUCUUUAAUUUUUUCCCGCACUUCAAAUUUGGUGCAAGAAUCUGUUUGCAUGCAAUGUUUUUCCUCAGAAUGUUAGGUGGCAUUAAAAACCUGGAGGAAAAUGGAUUAUAAGGCAUCAGACCAACUUGUCAGGCAGGUCUGCAAACCUUCCAAAAAAACAAAUCCAGGAAUGACAGCUGGUUUACACAUCUCUCUGGGUGGCAGAGUGUGAUAAUGUUGGGACACCAUUUUGUAGAUUUAGACUUGUCUGUUUGGCUGUGGGGAGAAAUUGGUGGCACCUGGAUGUUCUUGCCCUGUCUCAUGGGGCUGUAUGAGGGUCACAGCCCCUGUGGUGUAGGGCCUCUGGGAAUUGGGCCCUGAAUGAGAGCCUCCUGCAGUACAGUUUGUCCCCUCUGUGUCAGCUCCAGUGCUCCAUGGAAUAAACUGCGUGAGCACGGCCCCGAUGUCGAUGUAACAUGAUGAAUUAUGUAAUGCUGUGUCACAAUUACAUGUUUAUGAAAGGGAAGUAGGGCAGGGAGCUGCUGGAGAAAGCAAGUGCUCCUGGGUCAGCAGCCCUAUGGCCCUGCUGCUGGCUGAGCUGUGAUUGCUGCAGGCUGCCUCUGCGUGUGCCCAGAAUGCCAGAGUUCCCUGCAGUACCUGUGGGUGCCUUUAAGGCUUAUGUGUUCCUUAGAGGUGGUAGAAGAAGGUGGCAGAGAGCUGGUGGGUGAUUGCUGUGGGCAGCAUCAGCCACUGGACGGUGUAUGGGUCAGGUCAGACUUUCUGCAUCCUCCAGCUGCAAAGCUUCUCCUGGUGGUUUCUAUAGGAGUGCACCAAGCACUUGUAUCCCAUCACUCUCACUGUGCCAGGAGAAGAGUAAAGAUUCAUGAUUUCUGCAGACUGUCAGCAGUGUGCAAAAGAGGUGUAGGGGAUGAAGCAAAUUGACUGGUUUGGGCAAUUCAGAGCCUGCAGGAAGAGCCAGGGAAGGCUGUGCUUUAUCUCUGCUGCUCCUCCAAGCAGAAAUGGAAAAAACAGGAGGAGGAGGGAGAGGAGGUGGAGAGUGAGAGGGGAGAGAGUGAGAGAUCUGGUACAGAAUGAGCAGUGCUGUUGGAGCAAGCUUAAGCUUCUGGAGCGAAACAGUGCUUGGGAGUGGUGCAGAACUGGAAGUGGCUCUUGAAUCUUUCUGUUAUAUUGUACAGUAAAUGGUUGGGAUACCUUUUUGUCCCCUUUAAUAGUGAGGAAGGAGCUGUCUGGCUGGCUAAGGCUGUCCUGCUGCAGGGGUUGCUGCAGUAGCAGUGCCAUGGUCCCCACAGGCAGUAGCAUCCCCCCCACUGCUCCAGGACAGGUGCCUGGGGCAAACGCUGCAGGAAGCACACUGCACAGAACUGAGAUACCAGAGAUAGAAACAAGUACCUGUGCUGGGAGAAACUGGGGAGCUGGUGUUCUUUCCCAGCAGCACUGGGUUGUGCUCGCAGUCCUGAGGCCGGAGGAGCAGGGCUGACCACAGUGUGUUACACACAUCGCAUACCUGCCACAGCCUUUCACACAGCUGGGAGGAGGAAGUCCUGCCCAAGCUCACUGGACACUCAGGGAAUUGCCCAGAGCCCAGCAGACAGAACAUGUUUCCAUUUUGCAGAGGUGCACUGGG